GACGAACGCUGGCGGCGUGCUUAACACAUGCAAGUCGAACGGAAAGGCCCCUUUGGGGGUACUCGAGUGGCGCACGGGUGAGUAACACGUGAGUAACCUGCCCUUGACUUCGGGAUAACUUCAGGAAACUGGGGCUAAUACCGGAUAGGAAUCCUUGCUGCAUGGUGGGGGUUGGAAAGCUUCGGCGGUUUUGGAUGGACUCGCGGCUUAUCAGCUUGUUGGUGGGGUAGUGGCUUACCAAGGCUUUGACGGGUAGCCGGCCUGAGAGGGCGACCGGCCACAUUGGGACUGAGAUACGGCCCAGACGCCUACGGGAGGCAGCAGUGGGGAAUAUUGCACAAUGGGCGGAAGCCUGAUGCAGCAACGCCGCGUGCGGGAGGACGGCCUUCGGGUUGUAAACCGCUUUCAGCAGGGGCGAAGCUUGUGGUGACGGUACCUGCAGAAGAAGCACCGGCUAACUACGUG
Molecule: ribosomal RNA, 465 nt
Filed under: uncultured bacterium
Lineage: Bacteria
Description: partial 16S ribosomal RNA
Rfam family: Bacterial small subunit ribosomal RNA
Source: RNAcentral